RNAcentral lists this long non-coding RNA (1749 nucleotides) under Citrus x clementina. RNAcentral describes it as "Citrus clementina (C. clementina) long non-coding RNA (CCLE_LNC006325)". The record is from RNAcentral. Lineage: Eukaryota; Viridiplantae; Streptophyta; Magnoliopsida; Sapindales; Rutaceae.
ACCCCCCAGCGGAAAAAUGGCCAGAAAACGCGUGGGCUAUAGCCUUGGUGGGGGGCGUGGGCGAAGUUCGUCCGCGGGACUCGGAAUGGCCCCAGACUUGGCGGGCGGCCUCCGUGUGCCAAAAAUAGGCCACGGGCACAGCCGCGCCCAAAAAUCAGCCCCCGAAGGUCGGGGUCCCAAGACCCCCCAGCGGAAAAAUGGCCAAGAAACGGGUGGGCUAUAGCCUUGGUGGGGGGCGUGGGCGAAGUUCGUCCGCGGGACUCGGAAUGGCCCCAGACUUGGCGGGCGGCCUCCGUGUGCCAAAAAUAGACCACGGGCACAGCCGCGCCCAAAAAUCAGCCCCCGAAGGUCGGGGUCCCAAGACCCCUCAGCGGAAAAAAGGCCAAGAAACGCGUGGGCUAUAGCCUUGGUGGGGGGCGUGGGCGAAGUUCGUCCGCGGGACUCGGAAUGGCCCCAGACUUGGCGGGCGGCCUCCGUGUGCCAAAAAUAGGCCACGGGCACAGCCGCGCCCAAAAAUCAGCCCCCGAAGGUCGGGGUCACAAGACCCCCCAGCGGAAAAAUGGCCAAAAAACGGGUGGGCUAUAGCCUUGGUGGGGGGCGUGGGCGAAGUUCAUCCGCGGGACUCGGAAUGGCACCAGACAUGGCGGGCGGCCUCCGUGUGCCAAAAAUAGGCCACGGGCACAGCCGCGCCCAAAAAUCAGCCCCCGAAGGUCGGGGUCCCAAGACCCCCCAGCGGAAAAAAGGCCAAAAAACGCGUGGGCUAUAGCCUUGGUGGGGGGCGUGGGCGAAGUUCGUCCGCGGGACUCGGAAUGGCACCAUACUUGGCGGGCGGCCUCCGUGUGCGAAAAAUAGGCCACGGGCACAGCCGCGCCCAAAAAUCAGCCCCCGAAGGUCGGGGUCCCAAGACCCCCCAGCGGAAAAAUGGCCAAGAAACGCGUGGGCUAUAGCCUUGGUGGGGGGCGUGGGCGAAGUUCGUCCGCGGGACUCGGAAUGGUACCAUACUUGGCGGGCGGCCUCCGUGUGCCAAAAAUAGGCCACGGGCACAGCCGCGCCCAAAAAUCAGCCCCCGAAGGUCGGGGUCACAAGACCCCCCAGCGGAAAAAUGGCCAAAAAACGGGUGGGCUAUAGCCUUGGUGGGGGGCGUGGGCGAAGUUCGUCCGCGGGACUCGGAAGGGCACCAUACUUGGCGGGCGGCCUCCGUGUGCCAAAAAUAGGCCACGGGCACGGCCGCGCCCAAAAAUCAGCCCCCGAAGGUCGGGGUCACAAGACCCCCCAGCGGAAAAAUGGCCAAAAAACGGGUGGGCUAUAGCCUUGGUGGGGGGCGUGGGCGAAGUUCGUCCGCGGGACUCGGAAUGGCACCAGACUUGGCGGGCGGCCUCCGUGUGCCAAAAAUAGGCCACGGGCACAGCCGCGCCCAAAAAUCAGCCCCCGAAGGUCGGGAUCCCAAGACCCCCCAGCGGAAAAAAGGCCAAAAAACGCGUGGGCUAUAGCCUUGGUGGGGGGCGUGGGCGAAGUUCGUCCGCGGGACUCGGAAUGGCACCAUACUUGGCGGGCGGCCUCCGUGUGCGAAAAAUAGGCCACGGGCACAGCCGCGCCCAAAAAUCAGCCCCCGAAGGUCGGGGUCCCAAGACCCCCCAGCGGAAAAAUGGCCAAGAAACGCGUGGGCUAUAGCCUUGGUGGGGGGCGUGGGCGAAGUUCGUCCGCGGGACUCGGAAUGGCACCAUACUUGGCGGGCGGCCUCCGUGUGCG